GCCGCGCCGCGGUGCAGUCUGGGAGCGCGGAGGCGGUAGCGCCAGGAGGGCCCGCGGCGGCCAUUUUGUGUCGCUGGGCUCUGUGGGGCUGGUGCGGCCGUUGCGGUUCAGGAGGAAAGAGCUCGGCCGUCUCCUUUCUGUGUAGAUCGGGGGCGCUGCCGCCGUCAUGGGUCGUAAGAAGAAGAAGCAGCUGAAGCCUUGGUGCUGGUACUGUAACAGGGAUUUUGAUGAUGAAAAAAUCCUUAUACAGCAUCAAAAAGCAAAGCACUUUAAAUGCCAUAUAUGUCACAAGAAACUGUAUACAGGACCUGGCUUAGCUAUACAUUGCAUGCAGGUACAUAAAGAAACAAUAGAUGCUGUUCCAAAUGCUAUUCCUGGAAGAACAGAUAUUGAACUGGAAAUCUAUGGCAUGGAGGGCAUUCCAGAAAAAGACAUGGAGGAGCGGAGGAGGUUACUUGAACAAAAAACUCAGGCAGAAAGCCAGAAAAAGAAACAACAAGAUGAUUCUGAUGAGUAUGAAGAUGAUGAAUCUGCAGCUUCAACUUCAUUUCAGCCCCAGCAGGUUCAGCCCCAGCAGGGGUACAUUCCCCCCAUGGCACAGCCGGGUUUGCCUCCCGUGCCAGGUGCACCAGGGAUGCCUCCAGGUAUACCACCAUUAAUGGCAGGUGUUCCGCCUAUGAUGCCUGGAAUGCCUCCAGUCAUGCCUGGAAUGCCACCUGGAUUACAUCAACAGAGAAAAUACAUGCAGUCAUUUUGUGGUGGAAACAUGAUGAUGCCGAUGGGUGGAAUGAUGCCUCCUGGGCCAGGAAUACCGCCUCUUAUGCCUGGCAUGCCACCAGGUAUGCCGCCGCCUGUUGGUCCUCGUCCUGGGAUGCCUCCGAUGACCCAAGCACAGCCUGUUACAGCUCCGGGCAUUCUCAACAGACCUCCAGCUCCUGCUGCAGCGGCACCUACCCCCCAGCCUCCGGUUACUAAACCACUCUUCCCAAGUGCGGGGCAGAUGGGGACACCUGUCACAAGCUCAAGUACAGCUUCCUCCAAUUCAGAAAGUCUGUCAGCAUCUUCUAACGCUCUGUUUCCUAGCACAGCACAAGCUGCAGCGGCUGUUCCAGGUCCGGUUGGUACUGAUUUCAAACCUUUGAAUUCUACACCUGCAACAACAACAGAACCCCCCAAACCUACAUUCCCUGCUUACACACAGUCUACAGCCUCAACCACUAGCACGACAAACAGUACUGCAGCUAAACCAGCUACAUCGAUAACAAGUAAGCCUGCUACCCUGACAACCACCAGUGCAACCAGUAAGUUGAUCCAUCCAGAUGAGGAUAUAUCACUGGAAGAGAGAAGGGCACAGUUGCCUAAAUAUCAGCGCAAUCUUCCUCGAGCGGGACAAGCUGCCUUGGGUAAUCCACCAGUUGGACCAAUUGGAGGCAUGAUGCCACCACAGCCAGGAAUUCCUCCGCAACAGCAAGGAAUGAGACCUCCCAUGCCACCUCAUGGUCAGUAUGGUGCUCAUCACCAGGGCAUGCCAGGAUAUCUUCCUGGAGCGAUGCCUCCAUAUGGUCAGGGACCUCCAAUGGUGCCCCCUUACCAAAGUGGACCUCCUCGACCUCCAAUGGGAAUGAGACCUCCUGUCAUGUCGCAGGGUGGCCGCUACUGAUGCUACUACACACGCUCUAAUAGGUUUUUAGAAGUGAAGUAUAGUAAAUAUGGUUCGUUAAAUUGUGAAGGCGCUGGAAUUACAUGAACAUACCACCUUAAAGCCCUGCCAUAGGACAGGCUGAGGCAGAGUCUCAGUGUUGCCCUGUUCAGUCUGAGGCAAGUGGGAUUUAUUUUAUUCAUUCUGGGGGCUUUCACAGCUUUAUGGCUGUUGGAUAUUUAUGUCCCCAAACUUGCAGCAAGUUUGGUGAAGGCCCCUAAAUUUAUUUUAACUUAGGUUUUUUUAUUCUCUUUUGGUAGAUGGGCUCUAUAUUAAUAUUUAUCUUUUUAUUAUUGUGUUUUUAAGAGUCUUAGGGGGAGGUAACAUGUUUUAAGAUGUUUGGGUACCUUUUCUCUCUUAACGGAAGGUGUUUCCUUUGAGGCUGCUCGCGUAGUCCUUCAGCCACACUGCCCCCUCCCUCUCUUCCCCUGCAUUGCAUUUGUGCUGUAUUUGGGUUUGGUUUUGCUAAUGUGACUUUUGUGUGGUCUGUGAACUAGUCGCAUGUAAAUACCAAUUAAUAAUGUUUCUUCUGGGGAGAUGCAUCUAAUGAAGUGCUUAAAAUAUGUAGGUUUACACUAGUUAGUGACAUUUAUGGUCACAAAAUCGUGUAGCCUAAAUUACAGAAUAUGGUGUCUUUGGAGGAGGUUAAGAUGUUCAUACUGCUGCGUUUGUGAGCUGCACCACAACAAAUAUUAAUGUAGAGCCCAGUGAAGAAAUAGAGAUUGAAGCUGGUGAAGCAGAAGAAUGAGAAAUCAAAGCUGCAGAUUUUUCAGUUUGUCAGUUUCAGGGAAAAUCUUUUCCUCAAUCUCUCAAAUACACUAAACUUGACAGUAUUUUGCCUAUUGCAGCAAUACUCAAAGUCAUAGCACUUUUUUGAAACCUUGUGGAAUUCUGUUGCAUAUUCAAAAUUUGCUUAGGUAUGUGGUUAUCAAAGUUCUCUCUUUCACACAAUGACUAGCAAAAAAUUGUACCCUUUGUGAAGAAAAAGGAGCACUAUUGCAGAUAUAUUCAUUUUGAAUGCUUGAGGUUGCUUAAAGACAACUCAGCUUCUGAAGAACAGGUUUUGUCCAAGGAGGUCUUGCGGUGAAACAGAAAAUCAGUAGAAGUUUGAGUCCGGUUUUAUAACUGUAAAAUUCUCAUCUAGCGCAAAUGGUUCAUAUUUUGCUCUUUUCCUGAAUUUCUGUUAGUGACAUUUUCUUCUCUGCCUCCUUGUGUGGAUCUAAGGGGCAUGGUUCCAAGAGAUACACUGUAAACGAGGUCUCUUUGAGGAACAGCAGUGUGCUUUUACAGGCACUCCAGUAUUGCAGCACUCUGUGUAUCACAAAGUUGUGCAUCUCGUGGAAUUUAUUUUCUAAUGAUGAUAGUGUUUUAGUGACCUGAUUUUUGUAGAUAUUACUGGAAGUAAGUAUUGGGGACUACUUUGCAUUUUUUUUAAGCUUUAGUAGAGGUACAUGAUCUUGUAAAAGGGCAAGAGUUAACUGAUACUCUACUAAACUGGGUGAAUUUGCACCCACUGUUUUUAACAGAGAAGUGAAUGGGAGAUGUGCCAAAUAAAGUACAUACACGCAUGAAGUUUUGGCUUGCUUUACAGUUGCUUGAUAAGUUAAUAAUACAUUCUGUGCCUUGCCUAAUAAAGAUCAUAGCCCUUAUAGCCCUUAAAUACCCUGAGGAAUAGACUGCCUCCAGAAGAAUUUUUUUUAAAUGUGUGUAUACUUGCAACCGAACUAAUCAGACCUGUGAAAUGAUGAUAGUAACUGGAGUCUAUAAAAAUGGAGCUAUUGGUGACUACCAUAUUUUCCUGUAAUUGUUGGGGUAGGCAGAUAUUAGUUUAGAGUAAAAGAAGUUUUGAGGAAGCCUUUGAAAAGAUCAAGAUGUGAAGUGAUGUUGAAGUGUAAUGUUUAUGAUGUUCCUUUUGAAGUUCUGGAAAAAAAGUUACUUUCUUUACACUGUAAACAUCAGCUUUAUGCAGUCUUUGAUUGUCGGAGCGCAGAUUCCUAUUAAGGCUCUGCUAGAAGAAAAUACAGUUCAAGUACAGCAUUUGUAGGUUGUGCUGUAUAGUGAAUGCAGUUUUACUUUUGCGAAGGUCCGUUUGAGGGAGCCAGGCACUUCACUUUGCUGCUUCUGCAGCCAGCCACGUCCUGCCUUGAGCUGCAGGAUUCAGGAUGUUACCGUCAUCCUGACAAGUCAGUAUUGAGUGUCCAUGGGAUGAACCAAGGCUUCCUAUUUACACACCUGAUUACGCUUUUGAGUAGUGAGGCACUUCCACCCGAGCAAGAUUGUAAGUAUUUUAUUUCUCGGUAAUUUAAAGAGGUUGAAAAGUUUUCAAAAAAUAGUAGAAUUAUAAUGCUGGUACCAUCUUGACUGAAAACAAACAAACAUGCGACGUGGAGAGUUUGAAGCUUCCUUAAAAACUUCUCUUUCUAGCAGUUAAAGUACGUCUCUUUUUAGCUAGCUGCCUUACACCAGAUUGGAGCUUCUGAUACCUCCAGUUUUAUUUCAUAUAUUUUAUCGAAAUCUUAGCCGUAUUCCCAGGUGCUACUUAGAAAGGGGGUAUGUGUAGAAGUUCAACUUCUGCUGCCCUGAGUAGCCAAUAUGUAUAAAAGAUUUUCCCUAACAGCAGUUUUGAACUACCAGAAAUCAAUGCUAUACAACCAAAGGAACCUAUUUCACUGUCUCCCAACUUAGGAAAUGAGGUAAUGCUUUGAGAUAAAGAGAUCAUGCAGAGCUUUUUUUCUUUCUCCUUUUUUUUUUUUUGUCUGUUGAGUUACUUGCAUAUAUGUUACUUGCACUGAAUUCUUCAGCUUCUUUCCCAUAAAUUUCAGUGGAAGAAAAGACAUUUUGCUCUUUCAUUUGUAAAGUCUAGAAUAAGAAAACACUUUGAGUCUGUUUAAUGAAGGAACCUGGCAAUGUAAGUAUUGUAAUUUCCAUUAUGUUUGCAGUAGGCAACAGGGUUACCUUGUUAAGCUUGGGGUUUAUGUAUGAAAAACAGCAGAAAAGUAAGGGCAAAUUGAAAAGAGUCUAUAGUUGCCUUUACUUCAUAUGCUUUUCUUAAACAACAAAUUGCAGUAAUUGAAGUUUGGCAGCUUUUUAAAUGAAAAUCUAAAUCAUGGGUUAAACUCCUUGGUUUAAUACAAUUUGUGUUUCUGUUAACUAGCAGCAGAAUUUCAGCAUUUGCUACUUACUGGUAGAGAAGAAAAAUUCCACAGCACUGCCAGUACAGGUUAGUUUAAUCUGUAAGUACCUGAUGUUCCUAUUUGAAAUAAUUUGUUCAAAUGAUACCACUUAAAUACAUGAGGGGAAUUUUGGUCUCUGAAAUGUGAAUGUAUCUGUUAUCUACUACUGUUUUCAGUAGUGAGUGAACAUCUAGAUUUUGAAGAUCUGUAAUGGAUUUAACUACACUUACGGGUAGGUAAUAUCUGCAAGCACUUUUAAGGAAAAUUUAAUACGGCACCUUAACAAAUAGCCAUGGGUGUUACUGAAAAGUGGGAAUAUCUAAAGUUGGAAGUUGCUUCUUCAGUAACUUGCCUAUUGUAAGAGAGGCUGUUUUAUCAGUGAACCAGUUAUAGGAGACUACAUUUGCUGUGUUGGGGAAUGAGCAUUUCUGUUUGUAAGAAUCCAUAGCAGUAAUAUAAUCUUUCUUUCAGUAUUCUUUGGCUAUUGCUAAUUACUAUCUCCUACCAACACAUUUUUACUUUGUUAGGUCUGUAAGCCAGGAGCUUGUUCUUCUUUCUCUUCCCUACCCCCCCCAUUUCAGCACUUCAGAGGCUACCAACCAAAGUGGGUUUGCCCAGCUGUUUUAUCUUACUCCAGAGUUACUGCUCUGCCCCCUUCUUUUUUCCUUCUGCCCUAUUCCGUAUUCCUGAAAUUUUGGCCUUUUAUUUUAUAGAAUAGUCUACACCUUAAAAUAGGAGAGAUUCUUUGUGAUUAGAUAAAAGAUGCAACCUUCUCCAGAAUAGCUGCAUACAUGUAUUUUUAUGCAAGCCUUGUGUACCUCAUCUCUACGUAGCAGCAUGGGAGAUGGAGACUUUCUGUGCUGUAGCACAGAGCGUAGUUUCACAGCUGGGUGAGCUGUAAAACCCUCUGCUUUAAUGCACUUGUCAAGGGCAUGUUAUCACAUUGUGAAUUUUGAGGGGCUUUUGACCUAAUUGGUGUAUAAUUAUAUAGAAACUACGUAUGUGGAAGAUCACGCUAGCGUGGUAGCUGAACAGACACUUCAGUUUUGCCAGCUUAUCUGUAUGAUCUAGAGUAGAUUGAUGAGUGACUUGAUGCUUCUAGCAGUAUUGCUUACUUUAAAAUUUUGGAACCUUAUGCGACACUGCAGAAUUGAUCAUACUAACAUAAAAAAUUUCAAGGGGAUUGUAUCUUCCCAGGUUUUAGAAUAGUUGUGCUUGAAGCCCAUCUCCUGGUGUCUUCUCUGCAUCACUUCUCAGUCAUUCACACUAAAUUGCUUUGACUGCAGAACUAGCUACAUGCAAAUUUUUGAAUAAUGUUGUGUAGGUGUUUCUCCCUAGAAGAAAAAAAAGGGCAAAGUUGUAUAAUUUGUAACUUAACUUUGCCGGUAUUUCCUAAACCUUAAUGGCAGGUGUGCAUGAAUAGUAGGGAUACCUUGCUGUGAGACCAUUAUCCUUAUUAACAGAAUGUGUGCAUCUCUUAGCUUCUGUGGCCCUAGCUGAUGCUUAAUGCUCAGUAAUAAGUCAGAAUGAGUAACUGAUUGCUUUUGCCUGCUGAAUUCCUUUGUGAAGUGCUAGUUUUGAUGGUGGCUGGAUGCUGACCUGCGCUACCUGUACACCAGCUGGGCAGUGGGAGGGGAUAGCUGAAGGGUGGUGGUGUUCUUUAGUGCCUUUAUCAACAAAAAGUGUAUUUGUCCAGAGUAGAUCUUAAUACGAACUCUGGUAGAACAUCAUCUCUUUGUGAAACUUAUGGCAAUAAACUUAUGGCAAUUAAUUGGUGGAAUUAAGUUUAUUUUUCUUUGAUACUGCACUAAAUUAAUACUAGGAAUCUGAGCUUUUGUAACCAGGUGAGCGGUCUUAAGUUAUAGCUCAUUUUCUGAUACAGCACUACAGCAGCUGUCCAGUCUAACGUGGUUCAGAAGUCUUCUUUCUCUGUUCUGAUGUGGUAUAUAUGGACAGCAACUCAGUUAACCCUGUUUCCUUCAGGCUUCUGCUUCCUGACUCUGAAUCACCAUUUCAGAGAUCAUGGCCACUGUGCAGUAAACCCAGACUUCAAACGUUAGUACUUUCUUAAAGACCUAGAAGCACAUGGUUGAAUUCUGUCCCCUCUCAGGAGCAGUACAGCCACGGGAGCUAGUGUGUCAUGAAGUAACUGGAUACUGUUUUUGUGUAAGUAGUGUGAAAGGGAUGGAAUUGUUGAUCUUUUUCAAAAGACAGGUGGCAAAAUAUUGAUGUUGAAUUUAAUUCGAGAAAGUGAGAGACUGGUAAGUACGUGCAUCGCUUUAAUGCAUGCAAGUAAUGGUAACAGUAAUUAGCUUAAUUUUAUAGCAUUCAGUUUACAAAGAAGAAUAUGGAUCUGACAUCGUUUGCAUCCAUUGGAACCUUCUAUGAACUGUAUGCUUCAGGAGUGGAUCAUUGCACAUAUACAUCUGUAAAGUAUCUCUACCACUUUGUAACAGUCUCUGAUUAAACAGAAGUGAACCAUU
Columba livia (rock pigeon) is the source of this 7355-nucleotide RNA transcript. It is a transcript of the gene named zinc finger protein 207, with no coding region annotated. The record is from RefSeq and is a predicted model, not a curated record. Lineage: Eukaryota; Metazoa; Chordata; Aves; Columbiformes; Columbidae. The transcript has 14 exons.